GAGAGAGGGAAAGCAAGGGCUGCCAUAUUUUUCUAGAGAAGAAGAAGAAGAAAAGAAAGAGAAGGAGAAGAAGAAGAGGGUUUCGAACCCUAGGUGACAAGGUUUUCUUGCUAAAGUGUUCUUGAUUUUACAAUCAAGAGAGGCUCGUUGAAAGAUUGUGAAAUUCUUAGCUUGGACCUGAGGUAAG
Molecule: long non-coding RNA, 187 nt
Organism: Humulus lupulus (European hop)
Lineage: Eukaryota; Viridiplantae; Streptophyta; Magnoliopsida; Rosales; Cannabaceae
Exons: 3
Source: RefSeq, a predicted model, not a curated record